Molecule: long non-coding RNA, 1779 nt
Filed under: Sorghum bicolor (sorghum)
Lineage: Eukaryota; Viridiplantae; Streptophyta; Magnoliopsida; Poales; Poaceae
Description: long non-coding RNA (SBIC_LNC011264)
Source: RNAcentral
GGCACGCUACGUUCCUGUUGUGUCGACCAACGCUUGGUGGUUUGGCGGCUAAGAGGUGUAGCACGAACCUCGUCCUCACUAGAACACCGCAAGACCCGACCCACAAGUGUGGUAACUCAAUGAAACGAGCAAUCCACUAGAGUUACCUUUCGGCUCUCCGCCAGGGAAGGUACAAGACCCCUCACAAUCACUGGGAGAUAGCCACGAACAAUCACCAAAAUGCUCCUCCGCUGCUCCAAGAUGUCUAGGUGGCGGCAACCACCAAGAGUAACAAGAAAACCGCAGCUAGAACGAUCCCCAAGUGCCACUAGAUGCAAUUACUCAAGCAAAUGUACUUGGAAUCACUCCCAAUCUCACAAAGAUGUGUGGGAGGUGUUUGCUUAGGCUCACAAGGAUGUCAAGUAUGCUAGAAUGCCAAAGGGGUAAGCCCUAAGCCGGCCAACACGUAUUUAUAAGCCCCUCAAAUAAAUAGAGCCGUUGGCUCUUUCACUGGGCAAAACUCGGGAUCACCGGACGCACUGCAGGUGAGGCACCGGACGCUGGAACAGAGCGUCCGGUGCUCCAAAAGCAGCCAUGUGUCAGCUCUCUGAAACUCACGCGUCAAACUCUAACGGUCACUUGCAGAGCACCGGACGCGGUUAAGUUGGCACCGAACACGUCUGGUGCACACCGGUCUUAAACUCAAGGAGGUUCGCAAAAUGCGUAGGGCACCGGACUCUCUUCACCGGAUGCACCCUUAGCGUCCGGUCCCUUACCUAGAGAGGUUUGCAAAACACGCGGACACCGAACGCACACCACCGGACGCACCUUGAGCGUCCGGUGCUCUCAGUCAGAGACUCUUGCAGAAGUCAGGCAGCACCAGACGCACAAACAAGAUCAAGCCCGCGUCCAGUGUCUGGCGUCCGGUGCCUAACCCUGGCUGAGCCAAGCACUACCUGCACACCGGACGCAUAGACACAGCGUCCGGUGCCUCCACGGCCAGCGUCCGGUGUUGUCACCCAUCUAGCCUCUUGGCCACGUUGCAACCAUGAGCAUAGGGGAACGCUUUGUGUCUUGUACUGCCCUCAUGUUCUGCUGAAAGGUCCUAAUACAGCUAGAGAGGGGUGAAUAGCCUAUUUAAAAAUCUACAAACUCACUAGAGCAAAAGGUUAGUAAAUAACAAAGCGAAGCUUUUUGCUCUAGCUCUAAUGGGGUAUUUGCAGGCCACCUAACCAACAAUUCUAGUUUGCUAUAAUCACUAGGCACACAAGAGUUAUGUCACUACAAGCUACACUAGUGAACUAUGCUACACAAGGCAAAGUAAGCAACUAAACUAAUUACACUACUUUGCGGUAAGUAAAGGAUAGGAUGAGAUAUUUAUACCGCCGUGUAGGGGAUGAACCAAUCACCAAUAUAAACAAUCAAGCACCGAGAGAAUGUCAAUGAAACACAAUUGAGACACCAAUUUUUCUCCCGAGGUUCACAUGCUUGUCGGCACGCUACGUUCCCGUUGUGUCGACCAACGCUUGGUGGUUCGGCGGCUAAGAGGUGUAGCACGAACCUCGUCCCCACUAGAACACCGCAAGAACCGAUCCACAAGUGAGGUAACUCAAUGACACGAGCAAUCCACUAAAGUUACCUUUCGGCUCUCCGCCGGGGAAGGUACAAGACCCCUCACAAGCACUGGGAGAUAGCCACGAACAAUCACCAAAAUGCUCCUCCGCUGCUCCAAGAUGUCUAGGUGGCGGCAACCACCAAGAGUAACAAGAAAACCGCAGCUAGAACGAUCCCCAAGUGCCA